AACGAACGCUGGCGGCAGGCUUAACACAUGCAAGUCGAACGAGAUCUUCGGAUCUAGUGGCAGACGGGUGAGGAACACGUGGGAACAUCCCUUUCAGUUCGGAAUAACGUUGGGAAACUAACGCUAAUACCGGAUACGUCCUUCGGGAGAAAGAUUUAUCGCUGAAAGAUUGGCCCGCGUCUGAUUAGCUAGUUGGUGAGGUAACGGCUCACCAAGGCUACGAUCAGUAGCUGAUCUGAGAGGAUGAUCAGCCACAUUGGGACUGAGACACGGCCCAAACUCCUACGGGAGGCAGCAGUGGGGAAUAUUGGACAAUGGGCGCAAGCCUGAUCCAGCCAUGCCGCGUGAGUGAUGACGGCCUUCGGGUUGUAAAGCUCUUUUGUCCGGGAAGAUAAUGACUGUACCGGAAGAAUAAGCCCCGGCAAACUUCGUGCCAGCAGCCGCAGUAA
This 449-nucleotide ribosomal RNA is filed under the name uncultured bacterium. RNAcentral describes it as "partial 16S ribosomal RNA". It matches the Rfam family "Bacterial small subunit ribosomal RNA", at positions 29 to 523 of the family's 1533-position model. The record is from RNAcentral.